This 254-nucleotide ribosomal RNA is filed under the name uncultured bacterium. RNAcentral's name for it is "partial 16S ribosomal RNA". It matches the Rfam family "Bacterial small subunit ribosomal RNA", at positions 524 to 776 of the family's 1533-position model. The record is from RNAcentral.
UACGUAGGACCCAAGCGUUAUCCGGAGUGACUGGGCGUAAAGAGUUGCGUAGGCGGUUCGUAAAGCGAAUAGUGAAAGAUGAUGGCUCAACCAUCAGAACAUUGUUCGAACUCACGAACUCGAGAAUGGUAGAGGUAGCUGGAAUUUCCUGUGUAGGAGUGAAAUCCGUAGAUAUAGGAAGGAACACCAAUGGCGUAGGCAGGCUACUGGACCAUUUCUGACGCUGAGGCACGAAAGCGUGGGGAGCGAACCGG